CGUGUCUCUAGUGUCAGCAGCCGCGGUAAUACGGAGGGUGCAAGCGUUAUCCGGAUUUACUGGGUUUAAAGGGUGCGUAGGUGGGUCUGUAAGUCAGUGGUGAAAUCUCCGGGCUUAACCCGGAAACUGCCAUUGAUACUAUAGGUCUUGAAUACUCUGGAGGUAAGCGGAAUAUGUCAUGUAGCGGUGAAAUGCUUAGAUAUGACAUAGAACACCAAUUGCGAAGGCAGCUUACUACGGGGUCAUUGACACUGAGGCACGAAAGCGUGGGGAUCAAACAGGAUUAGAUACCCUGGUAGUCCACGCCCUAAACGAUGGAUACUCGACAUCAGCGAUACACUGUUGGUGUCUGAGCGAAAGCAUUAAGUAUCCCACCUGGGAAGUACGAUCGCAAGAUUGAAACUCAAAGGAAUUGACGGG
This 420-nucleotide ribosomal RNA is filed under the name uncultured bacterium. RNAcentral's name for it is "bacterial SSU rRNA". It matches the Rfam family "Bacterial small subunit ribosomal RNA", at positions 494 to 917 of the family's 1533-position model. The record is from RNAcentral.